Molecule: long non-coding RNA, 3572 nt
Organism: Megalobrama amblycephala (Wuchang bream)
Lineage: Eukaryota; Metazoa; Chordata; Actinopteri; Cypriniformes; Xenocyprididae
Exons: 3
Source: RefSeq, a predicted model, not a curated record
CAUAGAUUAAAUAAAAAAACACAUAAUAUUUAAAGAUAAAUAUGAAACUAAAAACGUUUUCACUCACAUGCUCGCUGUGUAGAGAAUAUCCUCUGUCUUAUCAGACGACAUGAUUUUGCACGGCAGUAGCAGCUGGGCAUGCUUCAUCUUCUUCUGUUUUAUGUCAGAUGGCAGCGUUAAGGUGAAAUACCGCCACCUAUUGUACUUUGGGAUGUCAACCAGGUACUGGCACUGGAUUAUUUACGUGUUAAAUUAUCAUGUGUAUUAUUCAUUUUAAAUAUUACGGUUAUCUCGAUAUAUUGUCAGACACAUAAUUAACACAAUAUCGAUUUUUCAUGUUUUAAAUAUCACGGUUAUUAUCAAUACCGGUAUAUUGCGACACCCCUAGAUGAAAUAUGGCGUAUUGUAUCGCUAGUGCCAUCAUUCCCAGGGUGGUGAGGCCUUUCUUCAGCUUUUGCUCCCAGCAUCUUUAAAGACUGUAGUGAUGCAGCAGCUUCAUGAUGAGCAUGGUCAUCAGGGAGUGGAACGCACAACAGAGCUGGUCCGACAAAGAUGUUUUUGGCCAGGUAUGUCUGAUGAUGUUAAGCGAUGGUGCCAACAAUGUGAACGCUGUACUGUUGCUAAGGAUGUCUUUCCUCAAGUCCAGACAUAUAUGGGCAAUUUGUUAGCUUCAAGACCUAACCAAAUUCUGGCUAUUGAUUUUACAUUGAUUGAGCCAUCACAGAAUGGAGAAUGUUCUUGUCCUGACUGAUGUGUUUUCCAAAUACACCCAGGCGGUGCCAACUCGUGACCAGAGAGCAUUUACAGUGGCGAAGGUGUUGGUUAAUGAGUGGUUCUACAAGUUUGGCGUUCCAAGUCGCAUCCACUCAGACCAGGGAAGGAACUUCGAAAGUAUCCUUAUUUGUCAAUUGUGUGAGUUGUAUGGCAUUGAACGGAGCCGAACCACACCAGCCCAUCCUACUGGAAAUGGUCAAUGCGAGAAAUUUAAUCGCACCCUGCACAAUUUACUGCACACUCUACCCUCUUGUAAGAAGAACUGGGCUCAAGUGGUUUUCUCCUAUAAUACUACCCCACACCAGUCUACAUACCAAUCUCCAUAUUUCUUAAUGUUCGUGCAAGACCCACAAUUUCCUGUUGACGUUCUCUUGGGUAGGAUUGAGGCUCCCACUCAAGGUAGUGUUCAUGACUGGAUUUAUGACCAUCAGGCUAGACUUCAAGUGGCCUUUGAUGGGGCUAGAAGUCACAUGAAGGCUGCAGCAGACUGUAGAAAAGAGCGAGAUGACCGGAGAGUACAGGAUGAACCUCUAUGUCAAGGUGAGUUGGUGUAUUUGCAGGACCUUUGUGUGCGAGGCUGGGCAAAGAUUGCUGGAGUUCUGUGGUUUACAAAUUGCUGCGAGCCCCUACACCUGGUGGGUCUGCGUACACCAUUGCCCCUGUUGAUGAUUUGGAAAAGGUUAGACAUGUGCAUCAUACCCUGUUCAGCUCAACCAUCUGGGCAGAAUUGAGCACAGCCUUCUAACUCAGUUUCAGAGUCUGAUCAAGUAUCGAUGGAAUCUGGGGACCUAUCGGAUGACGAUAUGUGUUUGCUGGUGUCUUCAGAGCAAGAAAUUUCCCUUCCAUUUAUAGUGCCAAGUGUUCGUCCAUCUUUGCCGCCUCCUACUCCUGCUCCAUCUUUGCCCCGAGGGUAUGUCCAUGUCAUCUAGUAGUGUCCCUGAUCUUGAGCCUACUCUAGUCACUAGGCGAGGAAUCAUGGACUCUUCAGUGGCAUCAGAGGGCAUAGUUCCUACUGUAAGAGCACAUUUACGUCAGACUACACGAACAACUGCAGGCUACCAUUCCAAUGUCCAUCACUUGCCAGAGACAAUGGGGGAUAGAGGGGGUAUUGUGAACUCUCAGAUAACUGUAACAAACAAUGUUUCCACUCUCUUUAGGCCUUGGAGUUAAUAUCGUCGGGUCGACGAAUUUUAAACCAGGGAGUAGAAUGUGACAGGUUAAGUUUCUUUAUUUGUUUAAUGGUGUAUCUCAACUCAGGAGACACGCAGACACGUUUUCAUAGUUGCAGAUCAUAGUCUAAAAAUGUGUGUGUUAUCAGGGAUGUGUGUGCGUGGAGUGACAAUCGAGCGCAGGUAGCAUAAAGUUAUAGUAGUCUGAGUUUCGCUUGGGAGUUGAGACAUUUUUCUCGUGGGUUCUUUUUUUGGGAAAGGGGAAAUCAUUUAAAAACGGUUUUACUAUUUGUUUUUUUGUUUUCAGGUGUGGCCUAAGAGCUUUGAUGCCGGUUUGAUACGCCUGUUUGAUAUACCUGUUCUUAUAUACCUCUUCUACACCUUUUUGAUAUACGCGUUUCAUUGAUUGAGCUCCAUAUUGCCAUUUCACUAAUACAACUGGCUGUGGACGUCGCGGUUCUGCACCGCUGAUUGGAACAGUGUUUUAAAGAUUAUUCUGCCCAACUUAUUUGUACAUUUAAUUUAUUCAGUUAUAGUCAUAGUGCCUGCGGACAACUGGAAAUAACUUGUUCCCUUUCGAAAGGGAACUCAACUCUGCGUUGGAAUACACAAUGGGGAACGUCACGUGACCCAGGUGUCUGAAAACCAACUAUCCAACAACUCCAAUCCCUAUUGGCCGGCGACAGCCUAUGACGUAAUUGUUAUGAUACAGACGGGUCGGACACAGAGAAUCACAGAUAUCAGAGUCCUUAGAGAUCGCUGGAGGUAAGUGAGCACUCACACACACAGAAACAAGAGGAGCAGGGAUCACACUGGAGACAGGUAAGUAGAGAGUCCAAGAGUCUGUAAGCAUUUGGGGUAUGUACAAACGAGACCGGACGUGGAGUGGUGUGUGUGCGUGCUCUUUUAUAGUGCGAGUGAUGAUUGGCUGAUGAGGUGCAGGUGUGCGUGAUCAGUAUUCUGGUGAAGGUGAGCGUUGUGAUUGGGUGAUGGUGGAGCCUGGCGUGUCUGUGACACAUGAAUGAUUUACACAAUUUUUUUCUGUUUGUGUUUCAUGCAAUGAAACUGAACGGUGACUGCAUUAUGCCUGAGAUCUGCUUUUGGGAUCCACAGACAGACUCAAACAGGGAUCUUGGCCUAGUUUGCUGAAACAAAAAUCCUCCUGUAGACCUGAAAAUCAUUGAAGUGCCUGGAUCAUCCACCAGAAAAGAGAAAAAAGAAGCCUAGCAGAAAACAAAGCUGCUGUAACUUUUUACUUUUCUGAUUAAUUACCUCAAAUGUAUCUUGUGAAGAUUUUAUUAUUGAUUGGAUUUUAUGUUGCCGUGAGUACAGGUGCAGUCACAUUUGUGGCAUUUCUGUUAAAUCACUCAGGCAAAAAGGUCCAUUGAUCAUUAUAAGCAAUAUAGUGACAUAUUAUAUGACGCAGCUCACAUAGGAGUCACUUUUAAUCAGCUUUCUGUUGGUCAAAUCUGGCGAAUUUCAGUAACCAACUUGGAUACUUAGUGAAAUUUUUGACCACAUAUGAAAUUAAAGGGUUACUUCAGGAUUUAACAUUAAGCUUUGUAUUAGUAGAAUACCACUAGUAUUUUCGAAUUACCGUGCUUUCCCCCUUCAUAUCAGCCCGAGAUG